CAGCCGCCGCGGUAAUACGUAGGGUGCAAGCGUUAAUCGGAAUUACUGGGCGUAAAGCGCACGUAGGCGGCUUGGUAAGUUAGAGGUGAAAGCCUGGAGCUCAACUCCAGAAUUGCCUUUAAGACUGCCGAGCUAGCAGGUGAGAGAGGUAAGUGGAAUUCCGAGUGUAGAGGUGAAAUUCGUAGAUAUUCGGAAGAACACCAGUGGCGAAGGCGGCUUACUGGCUCAUACUGGACGCUGAGGUGCGAAAGCGUGGGGAGCAAACAGGAUUAGAUACCCCGGUAGUCCCUGUCUCUUAUAC
RNAcentral lists this ribosomal RNA (301 nucleotides) under uncultured bacterium. RNAcentral's name for it is "partial 16S ribosomal RNA". It matches the Rfam family "Bacterial small subunit ribosomal RNA", at positions 509 to 807 of the family's 1533-position model. The record is from RNAcentral.